RNAcentral lists this ribosomal RNA (427 nucleotides) under uncultured bacterium. Its description in RNAcentral is "partial 16S ribosomal RNA". It matches the Rfam family "Bacterial small subunit ribosomal RNA", at positions 355 to 774 of the family's 1533-position model. The record is from RNAcentral.
UGGGGAAUAUUGCACAAUGGGAGCAAGCCUGAUGCAGCCAUGCCGCGUGUAUGAAGAAGGCCUUCGGGUUGUAAAGUACUUUCAGCGGGGAGGAAGGCGAUAAGGUUAAUAACCUUGUCGAUUGACGUUAACCGCAGAAGAAGCACCGGCUAACUCCGUGCCAGCAGCCGCGGUAAUACGGAGGGUGCAAGCGGGAAUCGGAAUUACUGGGCGUAAAGCGCACGCAGGCGGUCUGUCAAGUCGGAUGUGAAAUCCCCGGGCUCAACCUGGGAACUGCAUUCGAAACUGGCAGGCUAGAGUCUUGUAGAGGGGGGUAGAAUUCCAGGUGUAGCGGUGAAAUGCGUAGAGAUCUGGAGGAAUACCGGUGGCGAAGGCGGCCCCCUGGACAAAGACUGACGCUCAGGUGCGAAAGCGUGGGGAGCAAACA